This is a small nucleolar RNA of Cercocebus atys (sooty mangabey), 214 nucleotides long. Its record names the gene U3. It matches the Rfam family "Small nucleolar RNA U3". Rfam says of the family: Small nucleolar RNAs (snoRNAs) are involved in the processing and modification of rRNA in the nucleolus. The record is from Ensembl. Lineage: Eukaryota; Metazoa; Chordata; Mammalia; Primates; Cercopithecidae.
AAGACCAUACUUUCAGGGAUCAUUUCUAUAGUUCAUUACUAGAGAAGUUCCUCUGAACAUGUAGAACACUGGCAACCAUGAGGAAGACAUGCAGUGUUCUGUCCUGAAUGUGAAGCCAGGUCUUGGUGUUGCUUUGCUGCAAGUACCAUUUGCCACUGAUAAUUGUUUUUGUCUCCCUCUGGGACAGUAAGGGAAAGGAUGCCGUCAGAGUGAU